CCUACGGGUGGCAGCAGUGAGGAAUAUUGGUCAAUGGGGGAAACCCUGAACCAGCAACGCCGCGUGAGGGAAGAAGGUUUUCGGAUUGUAAACCUCUGUCCUCUGUGAAGAUGAUGACGGUAGCAGCGGAGGAAGCUCCGGCUAACUACGUGCCAGCAGCCGCGGUAAUACGUAGGGAGCAAGCGUUGUCCGGAUUAACUGGGUGUAAAGGGUGCGUAGUCGGCUUUGCAAGUCAGAAGUGAAAGCCAUGGGCUUAACCCAUGAACUGCUGUUGAAACUGCAUGGCUUGAGUGGAGUAGAGGUAGGCGGAAUUCCCGGUGUAGCGGUGAAAUGCGUAGAGAUCAGGAGGAACACCAGUGGCGAAGGCGGCCUACUGGACUCUAACUGACGCUGAGGCACGAAAGCGUGGGUAGCAAACAGGAUUAGAUACCCGGGUAGUC
This 440-nucleotide ribosomal RNA is filed under the name uncultured bacterium. RNAcentral describes it as "partial 16S ribosomal RNA". It matches the Rfam family "Bacterial small subunit ribosomal RNA", at positions 338 to 795 of the family's 1533-position model. The record is from RNAcentral.